This 253-nucleotide ribosomal RNA is filed under the name uncultured bacterium. RNAcentral describes it as "partial 16S ribosomal RNA". It matches the Rfam family "Bacterial small subunit ribosomal RNA", at positions 524 to 776 of the family's 1533-position model. The record is from RNAcentral.
UACGAAGGGGGCUAGCGUUGUUCGGAAUUACUGGGCGUAAAGCGCGCGCAGGCGGCUAUCCAAGUCAGUGGUGAAAGCCCGGAGCUCAACUCCGGAACUGCCAUUGAAACUGUUUAGCUUGAGGAUGAGAGAGGUGAGUGGAAUUCCACGUGUAGCAGUGAAAUGCGUAGAUAUGUGGAGGAACACCGAUGGCGAAGGCAGCCCCCUGGGUUAACACUGACGCUCAUGCACGAAAGCGUGGGGAGCAAACAGG